AGCUCCCCGCCCAGGUCCAAAAUCAAUUCACACCUCCCCAUUCCUGUCCUAUUAAUCACCUUGUCCCAGAGAAACCGCACUAGUCAACUCAGGCCAGGGCUAUAUUUUGCAGGCUGCAUUCCUCCCUGGUAAGACUGGGACCCUUGAGGAGGGGGUGAGCCUCUGCCUUCUUUAUGCAUCCUUCUGUUCCUGACCCAACCCAGGCAGUUCUCAGGAGCCCUGAGAGACUGGACACUGGACCAGAGGCAGCCUCCCUCCACGGCUGCCUUGCCUCCUCUGCUCUCCUCUGUCUCUUUUCUGCCCCUAAUCUUCUCUGUCUAUUCUUGAAUCUCUUUUCAAUUAAAAUAAAAUAAGCG
Molecule: long non-coding RNA, 356 nt
Filed under: Rattus norvegicus (Norway rat)
Lineage: Eukaryota; Metazoa; Chordata; Mammalia; Rodentia; Muridae
Description: long non-coding RNA NONRATT029831
Source: RNAcentral